This 2928-nucleotide long non-coding RNA is filed under the name Panax ginseng (ginseng). RNAcentral describes it as "long non-coding RNA (PGIN_LNC006477)". Lineage: Eukaryota; Viridiplantae; Streptophyta; Magnoliopsida; Apiales; Araliaceae. The record is from RNAcentral.
AAUUUUUGUUUAAAAAUAUUAAGCAAAAAGAAUAUAUAAAAUAUUUAUACAUUUAGUUAUGUACUAAUUGCUUACAAACUCGAAAUUGCUCCAAUUGCGUUCACAACCGGAAGAAGAACAACAAAGGCCGAGGAUUCGCUUUGCAAACUUUGUAAACUCAAUAGCACAACCGCCAAAAGCAUUCCACCAAUCAACUACAUUAGAUGUAAAAAAUUAAAAAAAUCAAAUAUAGUCUUAAUUAUUAAACUUAAAAGAAAAAUUUAUCGUUUCUCCCUCUCGUUUCUCCCUCUCGAUUCUCGAAUUGUCGUCGAAGGAAAAGGAACUGUCGAAGAAGGAAAAAGAUAACUGAAGUACAAAUUUGUUGAAGGAACUGUCGAGCAGCUCGAACUGUCGUCGAAACUCGAAGGAAAUGGGUUUGUCGUCGAACUGUCGAACAGACAAUAAGAAGGAAAAGGUUCGAUUUGCUGCAGUCCCUCCUCUUUGGAAGUUCUCCCUCUCGUAUCACUGUCGAUUGUCGAAGUUCUCCCUCUCGUUUCUGAUUUCUCCCUCUCGAACUAUCGAAGAAUGAAAAGUUCGAAUGAAAAGAAACUGUCAAUCGAUUGUCGAAGAAGGAAAAAAACGAGCAGAUCGAUUUAGGUUUUUGAAUUGGGUCGGGUCAAACCCGCUUUGGAAAGUCGCCCGCUUUGCUAGAUAGUCGUCCAAGUCGUCUGCUGAGCGUCCAAGUCGUCUAAGGCGAGGCCUGAGCGGUCGACUACGUGCUCUUCAACCAAGUCGGUAGGACGCCUUGUUUUUUCUGGUCGACUCGACGCCUAGUCGUCGCCUAGGCGACGACUAGUCGACGACUUGACAACAAUGGUUGUGGCAUUAAAUGCUUCUGAACUUUCUGUGCUGCGAUGGAGACAUUUCUGCACAUCUCUGAAUUCUGCAUUCUGCAUUCUGGCUCACUGACACUGCAGGCUGCUUUCUCACCUACCACCUGAAAAGGUGUUUUGUCCCUCUUAUCCAUAGUACUAUCCUUGGCUUCUUAAAUACGCUUCUUUGUUGCAUACUAAGGAUAUUUCAUAUAUUCUGGGACUGAUGAGCACUGCAGCAUCUGAGAUCCAUUCCUCGUAUGUUGAAUUAACAACUCAUGAGGCUUGACGUUUUCUGACAUGAGACAGAUGAUGCUCUACGAUUGGAUCGUGAUGUUCUACGGUUAAGAUCGUAGUGGCUUUGACUUGCAUACUACGAUAUUAUCAAUCGAGAACACUACGAUUUCUCUUAAACUUUCAUGCACUACGAUCUUCUCUUGCUCGUGUUGUUGACUCUACGUUCCCGAGAGCACACUACGAUCGUUGACUUAUAAACUUCACGUUUCCUUCAGCACACUACGAUCGUGGAGUUAGCUUGGUGAACGUUGGGACCACUCUACGAUUUCCGAAGAGUCCCCUUUCAAGGCAGGCACACUACGAUCUUCAGGCUCUACGUUUUCUGCCUUGACUUCUGCAAUGUUGAUCAGAUUGAUGCACUACGAUUUCUUCAAGACUAAUCUAUUACAUCUCAAGAUCAACCUAACAGUUUUGAUCUUUCUAUCUAUACAUUCUAGAACAGAAUGAUACACGUUGAAAGCUUAGAUCAACCUAACAAUUUUGAUCUAUCACCAAGUCCUUGUACAUAUAUUCUUUAAAGGACCUUACAAAUAAUCAUAAACACAUGCAUUAAAACAUCAAAUCAUAAUAUGCAUUCUCCCAACACAUAUUAUUAAGUGCAAAUGAUUAGUAAACUAUUUAGUAGUACUAACAGUCAUGCAUAAAUAUUGGAGCAAAGAAUAUAAUAUAAUUAAUAGAAAUAUAGCAUAGUAGUACUAAUUUAACUAUAAUUAAUAAAUUCAGAAUCAUGAUUUUCCAUUUUGAUUAAUUUCUUUCUUGAUCAGUGAAAAUGAAUGAUAUGGGAAACAAACAAAAAAGUAACAGACCAGUCGGCAGUAAAAAAAAAAAAAAAAAAAGCAACAGAGCACAUAUAGGAGCAACAGGGAAAACUUUUCGUUAGUCUCGAGAAACAGAGCAGUCGGCACUCGGCACAACAGAGAAGGUCAGAAGAAAGGGGAAAGAAAAAAGAAGGAAUACCUACCGAAACUAAGCGACGGGAGUCGCGAGCUUAGCGCCUUAGCCGGGAAUGGAGCACGGGAGGGAGGGAGUCGAAGGCUGCGAGGCUGAAGCUGCGACUGAAAAUCGAGCGAUGAUCGAAGUUCAUGGGUUACGCUGACAAAGAUGUCGAGUGACGAUGACGAAGAUGGUGUCUAGUGACGAAGAAGGUCUUCGAUGUCGAGUGACGAUGAUCGAAGUUCAGCGUAAGGGCUUUCUCCUUUUCUCCUCUUUUUUUCGAUGGGUCAUGGGUUACGCUCGCCUUAGCAGCUCUCUCCCAAGUCGUCGCUCUCCUUCUCUUCUCCCAAGCGCCUGGACGCGCAAGUGGAAAACUCACUUGUGCACACCCGCAUAAUAGACUAGAAGAAAAAAAAUUCUCUAGUUUAUAAUUUAUUUCUUAUGUAGAAAUUACUUGUAAAGACCCGGCCCAGCUCGAACCCAGGGUCAAGCCUACUGUCUCAAAAGUACGAUUUGGUCACUUCAGCCACCACAGGUCCACCUAAAUGGUCAUGACUUAACAGGAAGUGGUGGAGGCUUAUGGUGCAGUGCACUACACUGCAAUUUUAUUUAGCAAGUUGGGUUAAAUAGACUGCUGGGUGGUGCACACUGCACAGACACAUCUUUUUUACCUAUACCUAAUUGUACCAGGGCUUUGCAUGCACUUCCCUUUACGUGUUCCUUUGUUCAAAUUCUGUUACAGUGUAGGGUGCGAAUAUAAUCUUAAGCAUAGAACACAACUUGUUCAACUCCUGCAGAUUUUUCAGUUUAUAACUUACUGUUCUCAAAAGAAAAUCUCACCUGUUAU